RNAcentral lists this ribosomal RNA (466 nucleotides) under uncultured bacterium. Its description in RNAcentral is "partial 16S ribosomal RNA". It matches the Rfam family "Bacterial small subunit ribosomal RNA", at positions 28 to 507 of the family's 1533-position model. The record is from RNAcentral.
GAUGAACGCUGGCGGCGUGCUUAACACAUGCAAGUCGAACGGAAAGGCCAUGCUUGCCGGGUACUUGAGUGGCGACCGGGCGAGUACCACGUGGGUGAUCUGCCCUACACUUCGGAGUAAGCUGGGGAAACCGGGUCAAAUCCAGGAUAGGAACCAUCUUUAUCGUGGUGGUUCGAUAGAUUUUUCGGUGACGGAUAAUCUCGCGGGCUGUCAGCUUGUUGGUGGGGUUAUGGCCCUCCAUGGCGGCGACGGGUGGCCGGCCAGAGAUGGUGUACGGCGGCAAGGGGCCAGAGAAACGACGCAGGCUCCUACGAGAGGCAGCAGUGGAGAAUAUUGCACAAUGAGCGCAAGCCUGAUGCAGAGACGCAGCGGGGGGGAUGAAGGCCAUCGCGUUGUAAACUCCUUUCGCUAGGGAAGGAGCGAUGUUGUGACGGUACCUAGAUAAAAAGCACCGGCUAACUACGUG